Chinchilla lanigera (long-tailed chinchilla) is the source of this 318-nucleotide long non-coding RNA. RefSeq lists it as uncharacterized. Lineage: Eukaryota; Metazoa; Chordata; Mammalia; Rodentia; Chinchillidae. The transcript has 3 exons. The record is from RefSeq and is a predicted model, not a curated record.
GAGGCCCAGGCGCACACCCGACACCGCUCUCCCAGAGGAGGACGAGGGCGGGAGCCCGGGCCGGCCCGGGCCUCCCUCCUCCGCGGAGCCCCCCGAGUUGACACAUGCCCGGGUCCUGCUCCCCGGGGUGGGCACUCAGAAUGAGAAACUCCCCGGGGGAGGAUCCUCGGUUCGUAAGGAAGAACCUAAGUACUUCAGCAGGGCCAGAUCUCCACCAGACCUGGUCCCGGAAGGACAAAACACAUCGGGUCCGGUGCCCCGUUUACACACAGGUAAAGAGAAAGGAUCUCAGAAGGAAAAAGCAAUCACAGACUGGGC